RNAcentral lists this ribosomal RNA (240 nucleotides) under uncultured bacterium. RNAcentral's name for it is "partial 16S ribosomal RNA". It matches the Rfam family "Bacterial small subunit ribosomal RNA", at positions 9 to 250 of the family's 1533-position model. The record is from RNAcentral.
GAGUUUGAUCGUGGCUCAGAUUGAACGCUGGCGGCAGGCCUAACACAUGCAAGUCGAGCGGUAGAGAGAAGCUUGCUUCUCUUGAGAGCGGCGGACGGGUGAGUAAUGCCUAGGAAUCUGCCUGGUAGUGGGGGAUAACGCUCGGAAACGGACGCUAAUACCGCAUACGUCCUACGGGAGAAAGCGAGGGGACCUUCGGGCCUUGCGCUAUCAGAUGAGCCUAGGUCGGAUUAGCUAGUU